RNAcentral lists this ribosomal RNA (253 nucleotides) under uncultured bacterium. Its description in RNAcentral is "partial 16S ribosomal RNA". It matches the Rfam family "Bacterial small subunit ribosomal RNA", at positions 524 to 776 of the family's 1533-position model. The record is from RNAcentral.
UACAGAGGGUGCGAGCGUUGUCCGGAAUUACUGGGCGUAAAGGGCGCGUAGGCGGCUUGGUAAGUCGGGGGUGAAAGUCAGCGGCUCAACCGCUGGACUGCCUUCGAGACUGCCUGGCUUGAGCAUGGUAGAGGCUGGCGGAAUCCCCGGUGUAGCGGUGGAAUGCGUAGAGAUCGGGAAGAACAUCGGUGGCGAAGGCGGCCAGCUGGGCCAUUGCUGACGCUGAUGCGCGACAGCGUGGGGAGCAAACAGG